UCAUCUCUGUUUCUCCCACUGUCGUGAAGAUCAGAAGUAACUUACCUGGGUUGGUGAUGAAGCACAGGGACCGGCCGGUGCUCAGUGCGCAGAGGCUGGGAAGACUUUCUGGCCCAGAUAGGUGGGCCAAAGAUUGCCUAGGACAUCGUGUCUUCUUCCCAGUGGAAUUCCAACUGCAGAAGGUGCA
Lemur catta (Ring-tailed lemur) is the source of this 187-nucleotide long non-coding RNA. RefSeq lists it as uncharacterized. The record is from RefSeq and is a predicted model, not a curated record. NCBI's taxonomy places the organism in Eukaryota, Metazoa, Chordata, Mammalia, Primates, Lemuridae. The transcript has 3 exons.